GUCACCUCUCCAGAGUGAUUCUCAUUGAGCUUCGCCAGGAAGUUGAGCUGUUUGAAGUCAAUGCCGGAGUGUUUGUUCAGAGUCCCAUUUCCUGAGAGUACGGGCAGGUCAGGUACUUCCCUCUAACCAGGCUCCCUCUCACCCAGCCCCAGGAGCCCAGGAUUAUUCUCUAUCACCACCCCUCCCCUCACAACUGACUCACGGGGCCGAGUGCGGGUAGUCCCCUUCCAGAAUGUGUCCUUGUAUGGAAUACGGUUCAGAUUCUGGCCCAUCUUCUCUGCCCGCUCUAAGGAAGAAAGACAAACAGUCUUGACCUCAGCUGUUGUGUGGUGGGAGGAGAUAGGCUGAAACAUGAUAAGACAUGAGCGGUGGGUGGGGACAGACCUCGGAGAAGCUCUCUCAAGGGUGCCUUGGCUUUGUCCACAGGCAUCUCUCCAUACUUGUUACAGAUGCUGACAAGGGCCCCAUUAGCCACGAGGUCCUGGAAUUAAAAGGUGGCUGUGAUGAGGGCAGUCACAACCAACCAUCAAUGUAGAUGCAGUACAAACCCUGUGAAUGUCAGCACCCUUUGAAGAAUUAUAUGAAAAACGGAAGGAGUGACUGCGAAUUAUGGAGAAAUAGCAUAGAAGCCUAAUGGAAAACUGUAAAGCCUGGAUGAAGAUGACAGUCCAAGCUAUCACCACUUCUGGUGCCACUCUUCACAUCACCACCUGCUCUUCACAAAGCAUCCAAGAUGACACUUAACAAAUGGACAGUCUCAUCAUAUCAUUACAUGGCUUUAAACCCUUGUUCUUGGAAUA
Molecule: long non-coding RNA, 800 nt
Organism: Lagenorhynchus albirostris (white-beaked dolphin)
Lineage: Eukaryota; Metazoa; Chordata; Mammalia; Artiodactyla; Delphinidae
Exons: 3
Source: RefSeq, a predicted model, not a curated record